This 253-nucleotide ribosomal RNA is filed under the name uncultured bacterium. Its description in RNAcentral is "partial 16S ribosomal RNA". It matches the Rfam family "Bacterial small subunit ribosomal RNA", at positions 524 to 776 of the family's 1533-position model. The record is from RNAcentral.
GACGAAGGGGGCUAGCGUUGUUCGGAAUUACUGGGCGUAAAGCGAGUGUAGGUGGUUGUCCAAGUUGGAUGUGAAAGCCUUGAGCUCAACUCAAGAAAUGCAUUCAGGACUGGGCGGCUAGAGGACCGGAGAGGAUAGUGGAAUUCCCAGUGUAGUGGUGAAAUACGUAGAGAUUGGGAAGAACACCAGUGGCGAAGGCGGCUAUCUGGACGGUUUCUGACGCUGAGGCGCGACAGCGUGGGGAGCAAACAGG